RNAcentral lists this ribosomal RNA (468 nucleotides) under uncultured bacterium. Its description in RNAcentral is "partial 16S ribosomal RNA". It matches the Rfam family "Bacterial small subunit ribosomal RNA", at positions 28 to 507 of the family's 1533-position model. The record is from RNAcentral.
GACGAACGCUGGCGGCGUGCUUAACACAUGCAAGUCGAACGGAAAGGCCCUGCUUUUGUGGGGUGCUCGAGUGGCGAACGGGUGAGUAACACGUGAGUAACCUGCCCUUGACUUUGGGAUAACUUCAGGAAACUGGGGCUAAUACCGGAUAGGAGCGCCUGCUUCAUGGUGGGGGUUGGAAAGUUUCGGCGGUUGGGGAUGGACUCGCGGCUUAUCAGCUUGUUGGUGGGGUAGUGGCUUACCAAGGCUUUGACGGGUAGCCGGCCUGGGUGGGUGACCGGCCACAUUGGGACUGAGAUACGGCCCAGACUCCUACGGGAGGCAGCAGUGGGGAAUAUUGCACAAUGGGAGGAAGCCUGAUGCAGCAACGCCGCGUGCGGGAUGACGGCCUUCGGGUUGUAAACCGCUUUCGCCUGUGACGAAGCGUGAGUGACGGUAAUGGGUAAAGAAGCACCGGCUAACUACGUG